RNAcentral lists this ribosomal RNA (405 nucleotides) under uncultured bacterium. RNAcentral's name for it is "partial 16S ribosomal RNA". It matches the Rfam family "Bacterial small subunit ribosomal RNA", at positions 28 to 526 of the family's 1533-position model. The record is from RNAcentral.
GAUGAACGCUGGCGGCGUGCCUAAUACAUGCAAGUCGAGCGAAGCGGGGACGGGGGCGUAAGACGUGGAUAACCUCCUAUAAGUCCGGGAUAGCUUGGGGAAACCGGAGGUAAACGGGAUACUUCUAGGUGGCUCCGCGCUGCAUUCGCUCGUUGGUAAGGUAACGGCUUACCAAGGCAACGAUGCAUCGCCGACCUGUGAGGGUGAUCGGCCACACUGGAACUGAGACACGGACCCGACGCCUACGGGAGGCAGCAGGAGGGAAUCUUCCGCAAUGGACGAAAGCCUGACGGAGCAACGCCGCGUGAGUGAUGAAGGUUUUCGGAUCGUAAAACUCUGUUAUUAGAGAAGCGGUACCUAAUCAGAAAGCCACGGCUAACUACGUGCCAGCAGCCGCGGUAAUUC